RNAcentral lists this unclassified non-coding RNA (316 nucleotides) under Hevea brasiliensis (rubber tree). Lineage: Eukaryota; Viridiplantae; Streptophyta; Magnoliopsida; Malpighiales; Euphorbiaceae. The record is from RNAcentral.
GCCUGUUUUAUAGACUGUUGCCUCCAAGUUUGAACCUAGAGAAGUAGUUGUUGGUUCAGUUGCUAUCAAUGCUUCUUCACAAAGCUUUAUGGCCUUAUGAAGAUCUUCCAGGUGGCCCCACUUAGGUUGUCUAAGAAGUCCAUAUUCAUCAAGAGGGGCAUCAUAAUCAUAACUUGUAGAAAUAAAGGGUCCACCACUAGUCCAUAUAAUAGUUUUGGAAAGUUCCCCCUAGCUGGUAAAAUCGUGCGACAGCAAAUGCGAGGUCUUCAACAGGUCUGUAGGGAAUAGCACCACCAAAGGAUAGAAACCACCCACU